CAAGAUUUACAUUGUUUAUCAAUUCAUUUGUCCUGUUUUCCUUCUCCGUUGAUGCACUACUGUCAAUCUAUCAUGCCAACCUAUGAAGCAGAAGUAGAACAGCAUAUCAUUGCUGCGACUCAGCAUAUCCUGAAGGCAUUAGGGGCAAGUAAGAACCUGAAUGAUGAUUUUAAAAGAGCACUUACCGAGCUUGAUUCCCAUUUGUCCACAAUGACUAUGAUAACUGAAAGCAAGGGAGGGGGUUUUUCUGAGAUAGAGGAACAGCUCAAACAUGCUGAGAGAAAGAUUAUUCGUUGGGAGUCAGAUCCAUCUUUUAUAUGGGACUCUGGCCCCACGGAAGCUACCGAGUAUUUGCAAGCUGUCAAUGCGAUUCUAACGGUGAUAGAAAGUUCAGGAGGUCUGUCGUUAAGUGAAAAUGGGAAGCCCAGGGAGAUUGCUUUACAAGCUGAGCAUGCACUGCAGAGAGCAAUGUCAAGACUUGAGGAAGAGCUAUGCCACAUUCUGUUUCAGCAUAAGCAAUAUUUUAAGCCACGAUAUGUUUCGUUUCAUUCAUGUGCAGAAGAUAUGUUUUAUGAUAAGUCAUUUACUUCUUUGGAAGAUGAAAUAGUUGAGGAAACAUCCCAGAGAGAUGGGGAAGACAGAGAAUCUGUUGAAUGUUCUCUGGAUUUGGUUGAUCCCCAUGUGAUUCCUGAAAUCAAGUCCAUUGCAAAUAUUAUGUCUGCUUCCAAUUAUAUUCAAGAGUUUUGUGAGGCUUUCAUUGGUAGCCGGAUAGAAGCAUUAUAUGAAUACUUUUCCAUUCUUGAAAUAGAGAAACUCAGUAUUGAGGAUGUUCUGAAGCUGGAAUGGGAUAGCUGGAACAGGGAAACCAAGAAAUGGAUGUGGGCUAUGAAGGUCAUCAUUAGAGUGUAUCUUGCUAGUGAGAAACGACUUUGUGAGCAGAUAUUGGGGGAUUUUGGUUCUGUCAAUUCAUUUUGUUUCAUUGAAAUCUCUAAGGCUUCAGUUUUGUGCCUCUUGAAUUUUGGCCAAGCAGUAGCAAUGGGACCUCAUAAGCCUGAGAAGUUAAUCCGGCUGCUUGACAUGUAUGAGAUUAUGGCAAAUCUUCACCUAGAGUUAGACAGUUUAUUCUCUGAAGAUGAUGGUUCUUUUGUUAGAAUCGAGUACCACAAGCUUUUGAGGAGAUUGGGUGAUUAUGCAAGGGAGACCUUUAUGAGAUUUGGGA
Molecule: unclassified non-coding RNA, 1219 nt
Filed under: Hevea brasiliensis (rubber tree)
Lineage: Eukaryota; Viridiplantae; Streptophyta; Magnoliopsida; Malpighiales; Euphorbiaceae
Source: RNAcentral